CUCUCCCCAGCAACAUCAUCGUAAAAGUUGCUAUGCCGGUAGCCGUUGAAAAAUCACCCAUAAAAGAUGAGUACUCAUUGGGGCUAGGAAACUGUGCCUUGAGCUUUGAUUUCCAUGUAACUUCGACUAGAUUGAUACUAAUACCAUAUGCGACCACCAAGGUAGCUAGAUCUCUAACGUAUCUCGAGGAUACUAAAAUUUUCAUGCUCUCUUUCAACCCUAGUUUGGG
RNAcentral lists this unclassified non-coding RNA (229 nucleotides) under Hevea brasiliensis (rubber tree). The record is from RNAcentral. Lineage: Eukaryota; Viridiplantae; Streptophyta; Magnoliopsida; Malpighiales; Euphorbiaceae.